CUCCACCUUCGACUCUUUCCCUAGAAACUGCUGCCAGCACAGGUAGUACUACAUCUCCAUACAUGGAAGACAGUUAAGAAAUUCUACAAAGGAUGAUAAAUAGAUACCUGAGAAGAAAGAAAUCUCCUAUACUGAGUAUCUUCUGUUUACAGUUUCUCAAUUCCAGGUUAACAUGUAGCAGCUAUUUGAGAAUCCUGCUGUUGUCCUUUCCCUUCACAUCCUUUACCCGGAGCAGCAGUG
Tachyglossus aculeatus (Australian echidna) is the source of this 240-nucleotide long non-coding RNA. RefSeq lists it as uncharacterized. The transcript has 3 exons. The record is from RefSeq and is a predicted model, not a curated record. Lineage: Eukaryota; Metazoa; Chordata; Mammalia; Monotremata; Tachyglossidae.